RNAcentral lists this ribosomal RNA (596 nucleotides) under uncultured bacterium. RNAcentral describes it as "bacterial SSU rRNA". It matches the Rfam family "Bacterial small subunit ribosomal RNA", at positions 57 to 649 of the family's 1533-position model. The record is from RNAcentral.
GCAGUCGAGCGGUAGAGAGGUGCUUGCACCUCUUGAGAGCGGCGGACGGCCGUGUAAAGCCUAGGAAUCUGCCUGGUAGUGGGGGAUAACGCCUUGAAACGGACGCUAAUACCGCAUACGUCCUACGGGAGAAAGCAGGGGACCUUCGGGCCUUGCGCUAUCAGAUGAGCCUAGGUCGGAUUAGCUAGUUGGUGAGGUAAUGGCUCACCAAGGCGACGAUCCGUAACUGGUCUGAGAGGAUGAUCAGUCACACUGGAACUGAGACACGGUCCAGACUCCUACGGGAGGCAGCAGUGGGGAAUAUUGGACAAUGGGCGAAAGCCUGAUCCAGCCAUGCCGCGUGUGUGAAGAAGGUCUUCGGAUUGUAAAGCACUUUAAGUUGGGAGGAAGGGCAUUAUUCUAAUACGUUAGUGUUUUGACGUUACCGACAGAAUAAGCACCGGCUAACUCUGUGCCAGCAGCCGCGGUAAUACAGAGGGUGCAAGCGUUAAUCGGAAUUACUGGGCGUAAAGCGCGCGUAGGUGGUUCGUUAAGUUGGAUGUGAAAUCCCCGGGCUCAACCUGGGAACUGCAUUCAAAACUGUCGAGCUAGAGUAU